Molecule: ribosomal RNA, 496 nt
Filed under: uncultured bacterium
Lineage: Bacteria
Description: partial 16S ribosomal RNA
Rfam family: Bacterial small subunit ribosomal RNA
Source: RNAcentral
GAUGAACGCUGGCGGCGUGCCUAAUACAUGCAAGUCGAGCGAACGGACGAGAAGCUUGCUUCUCUGAUGUUAGCGGCGGACGGGUGAGUAACACGUGGAUAACCUACCUAUAAGACUGGGAUACUUCGGGAAACCGGAGCUAAUACCGGAUAAUAUUUUGAACCGCAUGGUUCAAAAGUGAAAGACGGUCUUGCUGUCACUUAUAGAUGGAUCCGCGCUGCAUUAGCUAGUUGGUAAGGUAACGGCUUACCAAGGCAACGAUGCAUAGCCGACCUGAGAGGGUGAUAGGCCCCACUGGAACUGGGACACGGUCCAGACUCCUGCGGGAGGGAGCAGUAGGGAAUGUUCCGCAGUAGGCGGAAGCCUGACGGAGCAACGCCGCGUGAGUGGUAAAGGUCUUCGGAUCGGAAAACUCUGUUAUUAGGGAAGAACAUAUGUGUAAGUAACUGUGCACAUCUUGACGGUAACUAAUCAGAAAGCCACGGCUAACUACGUG